GACGAACGCUGGCGGCGUGCUUAACACAUGCAAGUCGAACGGAAAGGCCCUGCUUUUGUGGGGUGCUCGAGUGGCGAACGGGUGAGUAACACGUGAGUAACCUGCCCUUGACUUUGGGAUAACUUCAGGAAACUGGGGCUAAUACCGGAUAGGAGCUCCUGCUGCAUGGUGGGGGUUGGAAAGUUUCGGCGGUUGGGGAUGGACUCGCGGCUUAUCAGCUUGUUGGUGGGGUAGUGGCUUACCAAGGCUUUGACGGGUAGCCGGCCUGAGAGGGUGACCGGCCACAUUGGGACUGAGAUACGGCACAGACUCCUACGGGAGGCAGCAGUGCGGAAUAGUGCACAAUGGGAGGAAGCCUGAUGCAGCAACGCAGCGUGCGGGAUGACGGGAUUCGGGUUGUAAACCGCUUUCGCCUGUGACGAAGCGUGAGUGACGGUAAUGGGUAAAGAAGCACCGGCUAACUACGUG
This 468-nucleotide ribosomal RNA is filed under the name uncultured bacterium. RNAcentral's name for it is "partial 16S ribosomal RNA". It matches the Rfam family "Bacterial small subunit ribosomal RNA", at positions 28 to 507 of the family's 1533-position model. The record is from RNAcentral.